This 208-nucleotide long non-coding RNA is filed under the name Elaeis guineensis (African oil palm). RNAcentral's name for it is "long non-coding RNA (EGUI_LNC019899)". The record is from RNAcentral. Lineage: Eukaryota; Viridiplantae; Streptophyta; Magnoliopsida; Arecales; Arecaceae.
AUCCUCCUCCGAGCAUUGAAAGUUUAAGUAGAAUAAAAAGGAUGCCGUAUGUAUUUCCUCAAGGCCAAAACUCAGUACAUCAUGGUCAUCCUCCUCCAGAAAUUGAACGCUUGAUUGGAAUUGAAAGGAUAACUCAAGAAUAAAGUUGUUACCAUGCAAGAAUACCAUUUACAUGCUAGAAUGUUCUAAUGCAAGACAACUAUAUAGU